RNAcentral lists this transfer RNA (77 nucleotides) under Bacteroidota bacterium. RNAcentral's name for it is "Bacteroidetes bacterium (freshwater metagenome) tRNA-Arg". It matches the Rfam family "tRNA". From Rfam's summary of the family: Transfer RNA (tRNA) molecules are approximately 80 nucleotides in length. Their secondary structure includes four short double-helical elements and three loops (D, anti-codon, and T loops). The record is from RNAcentral. Lineage: Bacteria; Pseudomonadati; Bacteroidota.
GGUCCCGUAGCUCAGUUGGAUAGAGCGGCAGCCUUCUAAGCUGUAGGUCAUUGGUUCGAAUCCAAUCGGGAUCACUA